Molecule: long non-coding RNA, 1398 nt
Filed under: Homo sapiens (human)
Lineage: Eukaryota; Metazoa; Chordata; Mammalia; Primates; Hominidae
Description: HSALNT0079518
Source: RNAcentral
UGCCUCCUUCUUUUAACUGAGUUACUAUCUCCUAGAUGCUGAUUACAGUAAAAAUUAUGUCUCUCUCUGUAGGAUUUGUCAAUGUGGUGAGAAACAGAUUAUGAGUGGGGCUGAACAUUUCAAACUUCUUCUGGUAGAACACCCAUCACCCAAUCAUCUGUGUGAUGAUUAAUAUUAUACAUCAACUUGGCUGGGCCACAGUGACAUGAAACCUUCUGGGUGUUUCUAUAAGGGUGACUUUGGAUAAUACUAACAUUUAAAUCAGUAGACUUUGAGUGAAGCAGAGUACUCUCCAUAUCACAGGUGGGCCUCAUCCCAUCAGCUGAAGGCCUUACAGGAACAAAGAUUGACCUCCCAGUAUAAGAAGUAAUCUGCCAGCAGGCUGCCUUUGGACUCCAACUGCAACUCUUCCCUGGGUUUCCAGCCUGCCAGCCUACCCUGCAGACUUUGGACUUGCACCUCCACAACCAUACGUUUCCAAAAUCUGGAGAGCGGCUGUGAGUUUGCAGUGCAGUAUGGGGAGAGACCAGAACCCACCGGAAGCCUCCAGGUGCUGCAGUGAGGAGGAGCUGGAACCCUUCUCCUCCAGGUGCCAGCUCGCGCUGCUGUGGUUCUCAUCUGUAGAGGACGUGGACCAUCCAGGGAAUCACCUGCAGCUGACAGAGGAAACUCUGAAGCCCACCAGGCCUGUACAGACUGGGGAAACACCAGUGCCUGAGGAUAGUGGCUAAACUGCCAGAGAACAUGGGGCUGAGGUGGAGCCUGGAUGACUCUUCUGCCUCUGAGCAAAGCUGCUUGCCCUACACACAACAGUAUUGUCUUAACAUCUGCUGAGUUCCCAGGUCCUCUUAGCAGCAGGCAGAGGCAUUCAGAGCCCAGACCCCAAAGACAUGCUGAUCUGGUUUAAACCUGACUGUGCUACUCAUCAACUGGGGGACCUAGGCAGGUUACAUUGUCUUUUUGUGCCUCAGUUUCCUCAUCUAUAGAAUAGAGGUAUUCUAGUUUCCUGUGAUUUCUGUAAUAAAUUUACAAACUUUGUAACAAAUUACCACAAAUUUGGUGGCUUCAAACGAUAGAAAUUUAUUCUCUCACAAACCUGGAGACCAAAAGUCUAAAGUCUCUAUCAUUGGACUGAAAUAAAAGUGCAGGUGGGGCCAGACACAGUGGCUCACACUUGUAAUCCCAGCACUUCGGGAGGCCAAGGCGGGCGGAUCAUGAGGUUAGGAGUUUGAGACAAGCCUGGCCAAUAUGGUGAAACCCCGUCUCUACUAAAAAUACAAAAUUAGCCAGGCGUGGUGGUGCAUGCCUGUAAUCCCAGCUACUUGGGAGGCUGAGGCAGGUGUAUCUCUUGAAACCAGGAGGCGGAGGUUGCGGUGAGCCAAAAUCAUGCCAUUGCAC